CUGUGCGUCCUUUCUUGACCCCAGAAGUAGAAGCCGUUCUCAACGUGCUCAAUCCUUAUGAUGAUGUGAAAAAUGUUGUGGUGAAUCCUCAAGAUAUAGUUCCAGAUUGUCUGAUGGCAGAAACUUCAACAAACAACACUGUCAGAAUGGAUGGUUUUCAGACAGGCCAAUCUUCAGCUUCAGAUACCUCUCAGAAUUGUGAACAAACCUCAUAUUAUGAAAAGCCAAAUUCUGAUUUAACUCCAAAUAUUGGUCCAUCAAGGAGAACAAGAAAGCAAAAGAUGGAUCAGUUAUGUGAUGAGGAUAUUCUUCUUGCUCAGAUGCAAAUGCAACAAGCCCAACUUUCAAUAGAAAACUUAAGAUUAGAGCGUAAAACUCUACAAGAGAGGUACCAACAACAGCGGGAGGCCCAUGAGUGGCAACGAGCUCAACAUGAGGCAAAUUUGAACUUGGCAAUGUUGCAAAUAAAAUUUUGGGAAAAGAAAACUGGUUAUGGAGAUAUGGAAACAUAAUGCAGAAAAUUAUAGCUAAUGAAAGAUAACUGACAUAAAUGGUGUAUGGAAAGUCAUCUUAAUCAUCUCGUAAUCUUUUAAAAAGAAUACUUGAUAGUGAUAGUGUGAACUGUAGGAAGUACCUGAAUCAAACAUUACUUUAGAUCCAUUAAGAAAAUGAGUGUUUGCGAAAAAGGAUAUGUUAAUGAAAACUUCCAUACAUUUAUAUCAUGGGAAGUGAAAUUUGAUAUCUAUUUUGAAGUGAGAAUGGCUUGAACGUGUUAUUGAUGUUGACAAUUGAGGCCCUGCCUACUGAAUAUGUCUUAAUGCCACAAAAAUUUAAAUGAGGAUUAAGGCAAAAACUUGUAGCAGGAAAUGUAAUACUAGUAUAUUUCAUAAGCUAGUUGAGGAACUGGAAAAUCAUCAUAUUGUUAUAGGAUAAAUAUGGGGUGAAUAUUCCUGAGUUAUUGUAGAAUGCAGAGAAAUUGCUGAGCCAAAUACAGCUUUUGCUCCUAGCCCAUCAGCCUAUCGUAUAGGUGAGUGCACGUUAUGUGACCAGAUCACACUCGGCCAAUCACCAUGCUGCACCUUUCUCCUAAACCCACACAUAAUUCAGUACGUGCUCUCCCUUUAUUGGUAAUGCUUGUGGUAAUUUUUAUACAUAAUUUUAUUGUGUUUACAGCAGGCAUGGGGAUGAAGCCAAGCCUCCGGAUUUGAAGCCAAAGUAUUGGAAUGUCAAAAAGCCAAAGCCAAACAUUAAAAAAGUCAUGAAGCCAAAGCAUUAAAAAAAGUCAUGAAGCUAAGGUCAGGGCCUAUAAAGGCUGUAUUAUCUUAUGUUGAUGGGAAUAUGUAUGGUAUUCUAAGUUACAGCAAGGCUUUUGAGAUAAGCUAACUUUAUUUUAAGCUCAUUGUUCUUAGGGUAAGUUUUGACUGUAGGCUGAAAGAGGUAUUAACAGUUUAUAUUACUAAAUUUAUUUUAUCCAUAAUGCAUAAACAUACUAAUUUACAGUCACAAAUCACAGAGAAGCAUUGGAAUGAAUCAUCAUACGAGUUUCUAAGGUAUGUUUGAUCUCUUCUGAUGUUUAGGUCAGGUCCUUGUGAAAAUAGGCCAGUAGGGAUAACUUGUGAUGUCAGUAUGGAUUUUACCUGAACUCACCUAAAGUUUACCCUUCCCAGAAUUACCUGGGGUGGAGAAUCUAACCUGAUUGACCUGUGACAAUAUGUUCUUGUGUUGGCUCUGGUCACUGACAUGCUGGUCAGUAAUUUUGGUGCCAACACGACAACCCAUGUCACUUGUCAAGUCAGGUUAGGCCAAAAUUGUGCUGCCUUGGCUCUGCCUGUGGCUUCGAAGCUGGAGCUAUGCCUCUGGCUUUGAAUCUGAAGCUGUGCCUCUGGCUUUGAAGCUGAAGUUGGUGCUAUGCCUCUGGCUUUGAGGUUGAAGUUGGUGUUAUGCCUCUGUCUUCAAAACCAAAUUAAAAAAGCAUGGCUUUCAGAAGCUUCAGCCAGCUUCAGCCCCAUGCCUGGUUUACAGGGUUAUAUUGUGAUGCAACAACUAUGGAUCCAAGUGUUACCUCAGGUAUCUCAGGUUUUACAUGGUGAAGGUAUAUGACAAGAUAGCUACAAUUCUUUAGGAUGCUAAUGCAGGUGGGGUUGUGGAGCAGCAUAUCUUAAACCUGCUUAUUUUUUUCUCUUCCUGGCAGUUGAACAACUCUGGAAGGCUGGGCCUCAAUUGUAUGUUCAUUUGUAGAAAAUAAUGUUCUGUACUGUACUGUAUAUGUCAGAUGGAUGGCAGCGCCAGGUAAGCUAAAGACUAGAAAAGUAUUGUGCUCUAUUGUAUAUUUUUGUUUGAUAAAUUAUGCACAAUUUUGUGGAUGAAAUCCACUUUAUGUAUAUUUUCAUCGAGUUCACAGAUUGGUAGUGUGUGUAUAUAUAUAUAUAUAUAUAUAUAUAUAUAUAUAUAUAUAUAUAUAUAUAUAUAUAUAUAUAUAUAUAUAUAUACACACAGUAUGUACUGUAUAACUGUAUACAGUAUUUAAAUAAUGCUCGGGUUGUACACAUAUUAAACCUCCCCAUGGUGUUUGAGGAGUAAAUGCGUAAAUGCUUGCUCAUAUUUCAGCAAUAAAUUAUUUGAUCAUAGGCUCUGUUCAUUGGAACUAUGGAUCUAUGAGUACUUCUCUCGUACUCGUUUAUUGAUUUGUGUAAAAAAUACACUAAUUUAAAAAAAUAUCUUUGGCAUUUAGCAUGGUGGAAGCAUACAUUUUUGUGCAUAUAAGGUUAUAAUAAUUGCAGUACGUAUACUCUUCGGAAAUUCACACACUUCAGAGUUAUUUUAUGCCACAAAUCCAUGUUAUGCAUGGUAAAGCCUUAUCUGGAGUACAGAGAGGUUGACUUUAAUCCAAAUGCAUUUUGAGCCUUGUGCCUAUUGGAAUACUAAAUGGGUCAAAGAGCUCAGUACCAGACUUUUUUUCCAGUCAGCAUGGAAUCUUCACUUCAAUGUGAAUGUGAUUUACUCUGUUAGUUAUUUAAGAUGAUUCUUGAUUUUGCUAAAUAAUGAAAGUUCCAUUGUAAGUUUCGUCUUGUUAAAGAGUUUCACCUGUGUGGCUAAACUCAUUGUAAAGUAAUUACUGAACACUGUACAGUGUCGGGCCCCUUUAUACGGGGAUGUAAUUUUUCCAUUUUUUGCAGGAAAAAUUUUGAGGAUAGCGAUUUAUCACCCGAAUAGUCCAUGUCCAUUUAGAAAAUAUUUAGGGGGUAGACAAAGACCCAGAAUGCUUGAUGACUUGAUUGCAGACACAAACAUGGUGUGAUUUUAGUGGUGAUGCCAAAGUGUGAUCAUUUACAAUACUGAAAAGUAGGAAUAUCGUUGGUGUCAUAUCUUGAGGCUUCAUUUAUUUUCAUAUUUCAUAUAUAUUCAGCAGCAGAAGUUGAUCCCAAAACAACAUGCAUGAUAUGAGGGAAGAGUUGACAGAUUUGUUUUGAAUGUCUAAUUAUUUAAUAUUUAUGAUUGGAAAUUGCCUAAGAAUACAUUUCUUGCAAUUAUCUUAAUUGGUAUCAAUAUGUAAAAUGUGGUAAAAUAAUGUUAUUGAGUAAUAUAUAUGACAUCACUUUAUAAUGAAUGUGUUAUUAAGCAUGAGAAAUAUUCGUUGGAAUCAGCAGUAAAGUAAUCAUAUACGUCUGGAUGCCCAGUUAUUGAAUCAUCUUGCAGCAGUGUUAUAAUUUGUUUUCAAUAACAUUAUUUUACCACAUUUUAUACAUUAAUACUAAUAAGGUUACAGGCAUACCCUAUAAUCAACGCAUAUAGGAACCAUGAAAAGUCGUUGGUUGGCAAACCAACGGUUAGCAAACAAAUUAAUCCCAUAAGAGUAUAAAAAGUUCAGGGGGUUAGGGGACUGGUCACCCCCCAAAAACACCCAUGUACCCUUGUUAUAUCUAUUUCAUUCACACUAUCAAGCAAGAAAAUAAAGCAGUCAUAUAAAGCAAGCAUAAUAAGCAUUAAAUAAGGAAUAUAAAGCAUAAAUUGAGACUUAUUUACCUGUGUUGUAGAUGGUAGAGACAGUCUAGGGUGGCAAGUUUAAGUCUCUACCAAUCUUUGCUGGCCCAUCACCACUCUUAUUAUGCCUUGUCACAUCACAUCAAGGAGGGGCAGCACAUGACAAACUAUCACUGGGGCAUUUAGGCAUGAUAGCAUAACAUGCAAUGUUGGAAUUAAUGAAAAAGCACAAAGUCAGAAACACAUGGUAAGUGUAAGCAAGUGCAGAGGCGGGAAUGAGUUGGAGGCAGUACACAGUGCCCUCUCGCACCACUGCCCGCCAAAUUCAAAACAGCUCUGCCGUUCCUCCCCGAUCAACGGAUUUUUUUUAGUAUAUGUACUGCCGAAGCAAGUUCUCCAGGGUAUCAACGAAACUUAUGGGGUAUUUCUUCUAUAUACUGCAUAAUUGUCAGUUAUGCGAAUCAGCGGUCAGUGGGACGUUGAUUUUUGGGGUAUACCUGUAGAUGCAAGAAAAGUAUUCUUCAGCAAUCUCCAAUCACAAAUCUUAAAUAACUUUGUAUUUAAAGCAUAUCUGUCAUCUAUUCCCCAAAGUGUUACCAGAUUACCUGCCUCAUAUCAUGCAAGUUAGCUCAGGAUGAACUUCUGUAUAUAGAUACAGUAUUUAAUUUUUUAACUCACAUAAAUUGAGAUGACAUACAGUACAUGGCAAAACACUACCUCUAAAAAAUAUUUUCAAAUAUAUGGUAAAUUGUGAAAAUGUUAAAGCUUCUGGGGCACUAUUCUUUCUACCCCCCCCCCCCACACACACACACACACACACCUACACCUCUCUCUACCUCUGGACUCCCACUAAGGCUCUGCUCCUCAAACCUAUUGGUGGCCAACAGUGGCUUUCCAGAUUCUCAACUUGUUUUCUUUUUUUUUCAUUCAUGGUGAGUCACAUCCCUGUAUACUUGAAUAGCUUUUCUUAAAAUGCAAUGCAAUGGCUAUACCAAAACCUGUACCAAUCUUUUGUCUGAGGAAAUUGAUCUAUUGACAGCUCCUCCCACUUCUCUAUAAAGAAUCAAAGAAAUUUCUUGCACAUGUAUUCACAUACCGGUAAACCUAACUUACAAGCAUCUGAUUAUAUGUCUUUGUGUUGUAGAUCUUCAUAGUAUGAUUUGAAUAAUUAUUUUAUAGUUGGAGAGAUGUAUUCUGUAUAACUUUUCAAGUUUAUUUCACUGCAUCUUCUAAAUAUUUUAAUGAGUGAUAAAGUUCAUUUGACUGUGUUCUCUUCCACAUUUUUGUUUUGUAUGCUGUAGCUAGUACAGCUGGACAUUAGCAGCAAAAACAAUAAAACGAUUGCCCUACCCGUUUUUUAGCUGAGAAAUGUCUGUGAAUUACUUUUAUAGUGUACCUAAAAACACAUUUAAUUGCAUUGAAAAUUGAAGAAAAAACGUUGGCUGUGAAAUUACCUGGGGCAGUGUGACCCCUGAGCAGUCAGUCAGUUGCUCUUCUAAGGUGUCAGGAUUGCUUGGGACACAGAAAAGUGGGUGGAGCAGAGUUGAAAGAUUAAUUCUCUUACACACACACUCUACCUCAGACACUAUACCUCACACAUACUCUCUACCUCAGACACCAUACCUCACACAUAUACUCUACCUCAGACACUAUGCCUCACACACACUCACUACCUCAGACACUAUACCUCACACACACUCACUACCUCAGACACUAUACCACACACACACACACACACACACACACACACACACACACACACACACACACACACACACACACUCUACCUCAGACACUAUACCUCACACAUACCGUACACAUACUCUACCUCAGACACUAUACCUCACAAUACACACACACACACACACACACACACACACACACACACACACGUACUACAUUCCCCAUCAAGUGUACACAUUCUUUCUUUUACUCAACUUUGAUACUUUGGUGUAAUUUCAUGCAAAUGCUAUCUGUUAUCACAACAGAUCCCUGGAUAAUUGUCAAAAAAAAAAGCCAAAGCGGUUUUACUAAUUAAAAUGAAUUAAAUGCAGCCGUUUUUGUCUGCUUUAAGUGUGGCUAUGGCUGAGCUCAGGGAGUUAGGUGCUCACUUGGGCCUAUUGAGAGGUAAUGGUGUAGUAACUGGAUACAGUAUACGUACUGUAUUGAAAUGAUCCACCUCACCUCUUCCUUGAUUGACACACAAUUUUGAGUUGAUGCUGUUCAUACAGAUAUCAAAAGGUUAUUCUGAUUUGUUGAGUAAUGAACCACGUCAGUAACUUGCAAUGGGGACAUAAUUUAUACAGCGAUACUCAAACCAUUCCCAUAUACUCCGGUGAGUGAGCUGCUAAUUUUUUCAAUCUUGAUUGUUCCUUGUCUUAUAAAAUAAUUCCUAUUCUACAGAUCUUUGCAGCUCCUCUAUAGAUGUAUGUACAAAUCAGUGCAAUCCCUGCUAUGUACAAAGUAAAUGCAGAGCCUCAGGAUAAACUUCCAUAUUUGAAUGCAUUUGUCACUUUCACAAUACCAGUACUGUAUAAACAAAUGUAGUAGCAAAAUUAUUAAAUAUUGCAGUCAGCAUAGGCAUUUAGAAAUACAUGUACAAUGUAAACCGCUGCUAACAAGUAGUGUUUGAACGAUCAUUUUUUUCCUGUUAAACAAACCAUGCACAAUCCUUUAAAAAUUGAGAGUUUAAGUUUGCAAGAUUACUGUUAAAAUAUUUCCUUAACAGAUACACAAUUGCCUUCUCAUAUCCUUAGUCUAAAUUCUGAUAAAAGGUAACAUGUUGCGAGAGGUCCAUUAUCAGUUAAAUACUGUACUGACAGAUAAAUGGUAACAAUUCAGUACGGUGUAUUGUUAGGUACUGGAAAAUCCUUUAGCUCGGGGAUCUUAGGUAAAUUUUUUACCUGGUGUACAAGAAUGGUAUAAAAGUGCAUUUUGAGGUACAUUUAACAUUUUAUUAUAUUGGUAACUUCCUUAGAAGGUACAUGUAGUCUUGUCUUUUAAUAUAUAAAAACUUGGUGAACUACAUGAUACUUUGGCAGGAGAUCAUGAAAGGGUAUUAUCAUUUAUCAUUGUUAAUGAAUGAUAAGUAAGUACUAAAUAUUGAAUCUACUGUAUGUACUUUAAUAUAGAUUCUGGUGAAGAUUUCUUAUGUUGUGAAUUGGUAAAAGAAAGCUGAACGUUUCAGUUAUUUUGAAUGGAGACUCGCUAUAUAACUGACCCCUCACUUUUGCAUGAGGCUAGAACACGGAAUGCUGAUUUAACCCAAUGACUACGGCAUUUGGGAAAUCAAGGGUACCCCAUAUACUGUACUGCAAAACCAUUACAUAUGAUUUUUGUUUUGUUUUUUUAAUUGAAGAUAUAAAAUUUUGAAGGCACAAGUACCAUAUAAAAGCUUUGUACUUAUGAUAAUUAGCGAGUUAUGUGUAUGAAGUGAGGCGGAGUGUAACUGGCAACUGCUGAGCGCAGGUGGUUGUGGUGGUGCAGCAGUGGGUUUUUGUGAUGCAAAGUGGUUGUUAAGCCCUUUUGUAGGUGGGGAGCUAGUCUGGUAUUGUAGGUUGGGUAAGGGGCUAUUACAGACAGGAGGAGGGUGAUGAAGCAUAAAUAAUUCUAAGUCAUUCCGAGGUGAUGAUGAUAAGUUGAUUUGAGGCUCCACCAACCUUGUGUUUCACUCUAAAGUGUAUACCAAUUAUAUAUUUUCCAUUCUUAGCAUGAUUUUUGGCACAUAGCUUUAAAUUCACAACGCCAAAUGCCAGUUGUCUAAGACAACGAUGACGCAAUUUCGGUAAAUCAUAUAAAGACGAUGAUAGCAAUUCAAGGUUAAAGAACUGUAUAGAUUUCUUUAGUACUAAUACUAAAGUGACAUGGGCAGUCAUUCAUAGUGAAUGUAAUAGUUUGGUUGUGUAUUAAAUAUUGAUUCUUUUUAAUAUAAUAAAGAAAACGAUAGUAUUAUUUUUAUUUUAUCUCCAUAUUUUUAUAUUUUUGCAUAUGAAAGAAUGCAAAAGAUCAAAGGCAAUCACAGAGCUCUGAUUGUAGCCCUCAAAUAUAAAGCAGGAAGGCAAGUGCCACAAUCCACUGUACUUAUGUUUGCUUUUUUAAUUACUGUAUCUGUAUUUUCAUGCAUAAACGUGUGUAUCAAAGAAUGGACCGUUUUUAAAUAUGAAAAGGAUGAUAGUUUUCCACAAGUGGAGUACAGUACCUUGUAUUUUAUAAAAUGAAUUCUCAACAGCUGAAACUCAAGUACAGUAUGUAUUUGUAAAGUGUGAAACUUGUAAUUUAUUAUUUAAAGUGAAGUGAAUGUAAUCUAAAUUAACUUUUAUUCUACUACCUGUAAACUGAUUCUACAAUAAGUUUCAUGUAUGUCUUAAACCUUCUAUGAAUAUUUUAAUAUACUCUAGUUAUAUGUGUACAGUGUAUGUGUGAGAGAGUGAGAUACAGUAUACUGUUAAUGUGUUUAUCUAAAGAAACUUAUUGUAAGUAAAAAUAAACCAGAAUGAAUCUACAGUAUUUUAAAUACAGUACAGUAUAUAGAAAAAGAAUUAAAGGUGAUUACUGAAUGACAACUGCAGACAUUUAAGUCUAAUGGCUUAGGGUAUCUUUUUGAGAAGGUGUAAAAUGUAUUGUACUUUGUAGUCUGUUAUGUGAUGCUAAAUGUUAAUUAGAAUUUCUCCUUUGUUGAACAAAGGAUCCUGCUCUCCAUGAAUUAUGAAUUCAUGGCUUUAAUUUUUUCCACAAUAUUUUUGUUAAAUAUUAACCAUUCAUAUUCAUGUUCUGUUUCCAUUGCCUGUGAUAAAACAUUUAUUUGUAAUGAAGAUGAAUAAAAUGUAUGGAUGGGCA
This is a long non-coding RNA of Homarus americanus (American lobster), 8817 nucleotides long. RefSeq lists it as uncharacterized. The transcript is spliced from 2 exons. NCBI's taxonomy places the organism in Eukaryota, Metazoa, Arthropoda, Malacostraca, Decapoda, Nephropidae. The record is from RefSeq and is a predicted model, not a curated record.